UACAGAGGUCUCAACCGUUGUUCGGAUUCAUUGGGCGUAAAGGGCGCGUAGGCGGUCGCGCAAGUCGGAUGUGAAAUCUCAGGGCUCAACCCUGAAACUGCAUUCGAUACUGCGUGGCUUGAGUGCUGGAGAGGAGACUGGAAUUUACGGUGUAGCGGUGAAAUGCGUAGAUAUCGUAAGGAAGACCAGUGGCGAAGGCGAGUCUCUGGACAGCAACUGACGCUGAGGCACGAAGGCCAGGGGAGCAAACGGG
RNAcentral lists this ribosomal RNA (253 nucleotides) under uncultured bacterium. RNAcentral describes it as "partial 16S ribosomal RNA". It matches the Rfam family "Bacterial small subunit ribosomal RNA", at positions 524 to 776 of the family's 1533-position model. The record is from RNAcentral.